Molecule: long non-coding RNA, 432 nt
Filed under: Vigna radiata
Lineage: Eukaryota; Viridiplantae; Streptophyta; Magnoliopsida; Fabales; Fabaceae
Description: long non-coding RNA (VRAD_LNC013348)
Source: RNAcentral
AUAGUUACAUUUUGACUUUUUCUUUCGAGACAUCAGUGCACACAUGCUUGAAUUUAUAGGCAAAUGAAAAAACGAGAGACAUUUAGAAAGGUUUAGAGGAGAAUGGGAUAUCUGUAUGGAUAAGUCAUUCCUCAUAUAAUCCUCAAAGGAGAUGUGAUAUGAGAAUGUCAGGAUGAAACACGAGAUACACAAAGGGUGCCCCAGCUUGAUGUUUUGGAAAAUGAGCCGGGGUAUGGAAAUUAGGGUGAAAUUUCAAAUGAGAUUUGCAAAGUUGCUCCAGUCUUGAGGUUAUGGAUUGAUGAAAAACUCGUGUGAGACUUACAAAGUUGUCCCAGUUUUUUUUUUGGCAUAGGGUUCUGUUUGGAAGAGGUAAUGGGCUAAAAGGAUGACCCCCAAUUGGUUUAACUUUCCUUUGCGUGCUUUUGGCUAGUU